AUUGAACGCUGGCGGCAUGCCUUACACAUGCAAGUCGAACGGUAACAGGUCUUCGGAUGCUGACGAGUGGCGAACGGGUGAGUAAUACAUCGGAACGUGCCUAGUAGUGGGGGAUAACUACUCGAAAGAGUGGCUAUUACCGCAUGAGAUCUACUGAUGAAAGCAGGGGAUCGCAAGACCUUGUGCUACUAGAGCGGCCGAUGGCAGAUUAGGUAGUUGGUGGGAUAAAAGCUUACCAAGCCGACGAUCUGUAGCUGGUCUGAGAGGACGAUCAGCCACACUGGGACUGAGACACGGCCCAGACUCCUACGGGAGGCAGCAGUGGGGAAUUUUGGACAAUGGGCGGAAGCCUGAUCCAGCAAUGCCGCGUGCAGGAUGAAGGCCUUCGGGUUGUAAACUGCUUUUGUACGGAACGAAAAGCCCCGGGUUAAUACCCUGGGGUCAUGACGGUACCGUAAGAAUAAGCACCGGCUAACUACGUGCCAGCCGCCGCAGUAA
RNAcentral lists this ribosomal RNA (498 nucleotides) under uncultured bacterium. RNAcentral describes it as "partial 16S ribosomal RNA". It matches the Rfam family "Bacterial small subunit ribosomal RNA", at positions 30 to 523 of the family's 1533-position model. The record is from RNAcentral.